Long non-coding RNA from Neltuma alba, 1720 nucleotides. RefSeq lists it as uncharacterized. The record is from RefSeq and is a predicted model, not a curated record. The transcript has 3 exons. Lineage: Eukaryota; Viridiplantae; Streptophyta; Magnoliopsida; Fabales; Fabaceae.
CAUAUUUAAAUCCCUAAUUGCUCUAGAUAUUUUCUGAGCUCAGCCUCCUCUCUACUCCCCCCCCCGCUCCCUACCUCCAUCAGACGCACACGCUUCAUGCGUACCGACGGAAAUCCUCUGAAUCAGCUCGCUUAUUCUCUCUUACAUGCUUUAUUUCCGCUUGUUUUCCCCCGAUCGUCCUAUUGAUUCCGAUUCACAAAUUCACCCCUGGUAAUUGCGAUUCUCUCUGAGAAGCUUGUUUUGAUCAGCAUUCAUGAUCCGAGUUCGGCUGCUUCAUUUGUUACAACUUUCAUGGCUGCAUGACUUGAAACCGUGUAUGGUUGAAUUCACUUUCAUGGAACCUCUUGAGGUUUCUGCUUCAUGUUUCCGUACUCCGCAUCUGUUUGGUUCCCGAGAAGCUGUGGAAAAAAUAAAAGAAGAGAGAUAAGAAAACGAAGCCGGUUAUCAUAAGCUAGUCUUCCUUACGGGAAUAGUGGGCCACUUUUUGGACAAUGCGCGUUCGGAUCUCAGGUUGAACAUAAAUACAGACUUUGUUCCCUAAGACAUAUAUGCUCGGACGGCUUAGUCCCUGAAAUUUCUCUCUACACAAGUCAGACCCUACAGUUUUGUACUUACAACAGUCCCACAGUCCGCCAAGCAUGUUGAUAUUUCAUGGACAUGUUGACGAGGUACAUUAAGUGUAUGUUUUGGAAGCUAGAAAGACUUUUUUUUUUUUUUGGUUUUUUCAGAAAGCAAUUUUUCCCUAACUGAUGUUUGGUUACUUUUUAUUUUUAGGCUUAGUUUGAAAAACAGAAAAUACACAUGAAAAGCUAGUUUUGUAAACUAAAGUGAAAGUAGCGUUUGUCUCUUUUGCAAAUUGUAAACCAAACAUGCAUUAAGUCUUUAGAGGGAAUGUUAAUUGCUUAUCUGUACCAUAGCUGGGUUGUCCAUGGCAGCCACCCUGGCAUGGCAGAAUUCGAAGAAAAUGCUUUGGGACUUCCAUGAUGUGGUGAUGUUUACAGGGAGUUGCCAUGUGGCAUCCACUUUGAUUUAGUGGCCACCCUGGCAGAAUAUAGAAAAUUAGAUGUUAGCCACAGUGUGUUGUAAUUAAACAAUUGUAGAGAUUACCGAGGCUGAGGGUAUUUGUUACAUUUGAUAUUUCUAUGGUGAUUUAAAUUAAAAAAUCUGAGCCUUUCACUAUUUGUCACAUCGUGCCGUUGACAACCCUAUACUGUAGUUCUUCUUCCUUGGGCUGUCCAUUGUGGGAGCUCUCUUCAAAAUUUUGUAAGUUGUCCAAUCUAAUAUGGAUCCCCCCCCCUCCCAAAUCAAUAGAAUUCUUAAAUCAACAACAACUUGAAUCAUUAUAAAAUACUGAGUUUGUCAGUAAAUGUUGAGCCUGAAAAUUUUCAUUUUAUUAGAUUGGGCUGAUUCAAUUUUUCUAACUUGAAUUUAUGGCAAAUUGAUGCUUAACAUUCAGCACUGAACCUAUUCAUGAUGUUUUGUUGUAAAAAAAUUUAGUAAUAUCAUAUUAUCAUCAAAUGAUAAACAUUUUGAAGUUCUUCAUUCUUCUCAUGCAAACAGUCAAUUUACUGAUGCUAUUUGUAUGAUGCAUCCUUUUGAAGUAAAUUCAAAUUAUUAAGUUGAAUGAGGAGUGUGCGUGCGCAUUUUACUGAGUGUUUAUUCUUAAUCUGAUGGAAAAGGAAAUCUUAGAAAGUGGCAAUAAUGUUGAAAUUAUCCAUAA